RNAcentral lists this ribosomal RNA (468 nucleotides) under uncultured bacterium. RNAcentral describes it as "partial 16S ribosomal RNA". It matches the Rfam family "Bacterial small subunit ribosomal RNA", at positions 28 to 507 of the family's 1533-position model. The record is from RNAcentral.
GACGGACGCUGGCGGCGUGCUUAACACAUGCAAGUCGAACGGAAAGGCCCUGCUUUUGUGGGGUGCUCGAGUGGCGAACGGGUGAGUAACACGUGAGUAACCUGCCCUUGACUUUGGGAUAACUUCAGGAAACUGGGGCUAAUACCGGAUAGGAGCUCCUGCUGCAUGGUGGGGGUUGGAAAGUUUCGGCGGUUGGGGGUGGACUCGCGGCUUAUCAGCUUGUUGGUGGGGUAGUGGCUUACCAAGGCUUUGACGGGUAGCCGGCCUGAGAGGGUGACCGGCCACAUUGGGACUGAGAUACGGCCCAGACUCCUACGGGAGGCAGCAGUGGGGAAUAUUGCACAAUGGGCGGAAGCCUGAUGCAGCAACGCCGCGUGCGGGAUGACGGCCUUCGGGUUGUAAACCGCUUUCGCCUGUGACGAAGCGUGAGUGACGGUAAUGGGUAAAGAAGCACCGGCUAACUACGUG